This 868-nucleotide ribosomal RNA is filed under the name uncultured bacterium. RNAcentral's name for it is "partial 16S ribosomal RNA". The record is from RNAcentral.
GGGGUGCGCGCCUUACAUGCACGUCUAACGGCAGCACGGAAGACCCGUCGCCGGCUGCUGAGGAGGAGGUGGCGCUGCGGUAAUACAUGCUCGUACUCGGGCUCCUGUGAUGGAUGGAUGAGACAGCUACUAACGUGGGCGACUUGUCUACCUGACCUCCGUCACCGACCGGCAUCGACGCACCGGAGGGGAUGGGCCACCAUUCGCGCGCCUUCGUUGGCGUAGUGAUGAUGCCCAUGAUUAGUCAUUCUCGUGAGGGUGGUGAAGGCAUCAUCAUCGCCUACGGACUACGCCCCCCGCGUGCUGAGAGGAGAAGACGACCCACUGCGCUUGAGAUACGGCCCCGACCCUACUCCUAGGGGACGCUGCGGAGUUUAGUACUGUGCGGUCGCGCCCUGACCUGAUGCCUGCCCCGCUGCGGGUAUAAAGGCCUCCGGCUGGUAACCGACUUUCUUCGGCAAGAAAGGGAGUGGUUUAAUACCUCCGCUCACUGACUGGUCACCUGCCGAAUAAGCAACCGGCUAACUACUUGCCGCCAGCCGCGGCAAUAAUUAGGGUGGAGCGGUCAUUAGUCAUAUUUGGGGGCAAUAGGCGCACGCCGCGUUUGUUCAGACAUGUGAUACCCCCGCGCUUCUGCGGGCUAGCGUCUUCUCAUACGGGCAGGUGUCACGCUCGAAGAGGGGAUAUAAUUCCGUGUGUAGCAGUGACAUGCAUAUAUAUCUGAACGAUACCGGUGGGGAAAGCCCCUCCCCGGAGACUGACUCUCACUCUCGUGCGCGAGCGUGGGGAGCAUAAAUAGAGACACUGUUUGUUGGUCCCCUACACAAAUGAAGUCUGCAAGCUGGGUCGUUGAUCGAUGCGUGCUUCC